UUGCGCACUCACUCUGUUGUUGUUCGUGCGGCCAAAUGAAUUUAAUGUAAAACCUCUCGCGUGGCCAAAAAAGUUGAAUGUUUGCGCAACUAUGGCCCCCUAUCAAAGUCCCCAUCCCCAUCCCCAUCCCCAUCCCUAUCCACAUCCGCAGCCGUAGCCGCAUCCAAGUACACCCACUGCCCGAUUCACUUACUUAACAGGUGUGACAGCGGCAACAACGAGUCGGCUGCUGUCACUCGAACAAGUAAAGCCAAGUGAAUAACUGUGACGAUGACAAGGACGAAAGCAGGACACGUUUUAGCAGAUAAAUGCCAGGCACUUAAGUC
Drosophila melanogaster (fruit fly) is the source of this 326-nucleotide non-coding RNA. Lineage: Eukaryota; Metazoa; Arthropoda; Insecta; Diptera; Drosophilidae. The record is from Ensembl.